CUUCCACGGCUUUGCCUUCCUGCAAACGACCCUGACCCGGGGCUGUCCCGGGUACUGCUCUUUAACCCCCUGCUGCUCAGACUCUUCACGCAGCCUAAAAAGACGGCCACGCCUGUAAGUGUCACUUUGCAGAUGUAGAAGCAGAGGCUCAGCAGGGCAGAUCUCCUCCCGAAGUCCCGGGACCAUCAGAGAUGGUUCAUUUUGACCGAGGCCCGUCUGGUGGUUCGUUGCUGUGAUGUAUUUCGGCAUCGUCGACGCAGGUUCACCAGCCUCAUCUCGACCUUGGAAAUGUUGCGGGAUUUUACAGUAUGUGGUGACAUUUAUGGGCCCAUUUGGACACCCACAAAGAGGUUGAUUUCCAUAGAUUAAAUGUCAAGUUUGAAGCCAUCCAGGGUAAUUGAAUCCUUGAAUGUUGUCCACUUCGAUUCUCAGCUGGGGCUGUUGACUGGACAUUUGUGCUCUGUUACAAACUCAUGAGUGCAGCCCAAAUUGC
Long non-coding RNA from Pan troglodytes (chimpanzee), 493 nucleotides. RefSeq lists it as uncharacterized. The record is from RefSeq and is a predicted model, not a curated record. NCBI's taxonomy places the organism in Eukaryota, Metazoa, Chordata, Mammalia, Primates, Hominidae. The transcript is spliced from 3 exons.